Molecule: unclassified non-coding RNA, 305 nt
Filed under: plant metagenome
Description: partial contains 5.8S ribosomal RNA, internal transcribed spacer 2, and large subunit ribosomal RNA
Rfam family: 5.8S ribosomal RNA (bases 1-105)
Source: RNAcentral
GAAAUGCGAUAAGUAAUGUGAAUUGCAGAAUUCAGUGAAUCAUCGAAUCUUUGAACGCACAUUGCGCCCGCCAGUAUUCUGGCGGGCAUGCCUGUUCGAGCGUCAUUUCAACCAUCAAGCCCCCGGCUUGUGUUGGGGACCUGCGGCUGCCCGCAGGCCCUGAAAACCAGUGGCGGGCUCGCUGUCACACCGAGCGUAGUAGCAUACAUUCUCGCUCAGGGCGUGCUGCGGGUUCCGGCCGUUAAACGACCUUCAUAACCCAAGGUUGACCUCGGAUCAGGUAGGAAGACCCGCUGAACUUAAGC